AACGAACGCUGGCGGCAUGCCUAACACAUGCAAGUCGAACGAGACCUUCGAGUCUAGUGGCGCACGGGUGCGUAACGCGUGGUAACCUGCCCUUAGGUUCGGAAUAACUCCCCGAAAGGGGUGCUAAUACCGGAUAAUGUCUUCGGACCAAGGAUUUAUCGCAUUUGGAUGGGCACGCGUUGGAUUAGCUAGUUGGUAGGGUAAAAGCCUACCAAGGCGACGAUCCAUAGCUGGUCUGAGAGGAUGAUCAGCCACACUGGGACUGAGACACGGCCCAGACUACUACGGGAGGCAGCAGUGGGGAAUAUUGGACAAUGAGCGAAAGCCUGAACCAGCAAUGCCGCGUGAAUGAUGAAGGCCUUAGGGUUGUAAAGCUCUUUUACCCGGGAUGAUAAUGACAGUACCGGGAGAAUAAGCACCGGCUAACUCCGUG
This 433-nucleotide ribosomal RNA is filed under the name uncultured bacterium. RNAcentral's name for it is "partial 16S ribosomal RNA". It matches the Rfam family "Bacterial small subunit ribosomal RNA", at positions 29 to 507 of the family's 1533-position model. The record is from RNAcentral.